RNAcentral lists this ribosomal RNA (301 nucleotides) under uncultured bacterium. RNAcentral describes it as "partial 16S ribosomal RNA". It matches the Rfam family "Bacterial small subunit ribosomal RNA", at positions 509 to 808 of the family's 1533-position model. The record is from RNAcentral.
CAGCAGCCGCGGGAUACGUAGGGUGCAAGCGUUAAUCGGAAUUACUGGGCGUAAAGCGUGCGCAGGCGGUUAUAUAAGACAGAUGUGAAAUCCCCGGGCUCAACCUGGGAACUGCAUUUGUGACUGUAUAGCUAGAGUACGGCAGAGGGGGAUGGAAUUCCGCGUGUAGCAGUGAAAUGCGUAGAUAUGCGGAGGAACACCGAUGGCGAAGGCAAUCCCCUGGGCCUGUACUGACGCUCAUGCACGAAAGCGUGGGGAGCAAACAGGAUUAGAUACCCGCGUAGUCCCUGUCUCUUAUACA